CUUUUAUUAUAAAACAUGGUGAUUAAUCAAUAAUAUGAAAAAAAUACAAAUUUAAACAAUUAUUUGAAUUAUUAGAUAUUGUUUAUAUUAUAUCCACACAUGAAUGUACACUAGACCGGUACCGGCAUUUUAUUUUUAUGUAAGUGUUUAGCCUGUAAAAUAUACACCACUUGCGCAUUAAGGAUCAACUUCUAACGAAACGAUCAUUCUACGCUCUAUGCAUCAUAGUAAAUCAUAGGCACAACUAGGGGGGGAAACAUGAAUUCUAUGAAUUUGUGAAAUGUAGGAGAAUUCUAUAGGUAAAAAGAAAUCAACUUUAAAUGUUAGAUAUUAUAAUGCAGAUGAGUAAAUUAAAAAUUUGUCACAAAAUGACACUCAAUGGACUAAUGGUACUCACCUAAGAGAUCAUUUUGGAUUUUCUAUAAACCAAUAACUAAACAACUGUUCUACAUAUUUUAUUUCUUCAACCAAUAGUUAAUAGUAGUACAAUAGAAGAGAGUGAGUAGCACCUAUUAUAUUUUAUUUUUCUCUUGUUUGUAUGAACUACUUAGGUUUUUUUUUUCUAGGUUUUAGCACCCUCAUGUAGUGUAUACCAUUAACAAUUCAAUACAGUAAACAGUAAACUCUAAGGACAACAGUCAGAUUUUUAAAAUUAAUAAAUAUUGGUAAUAUAUUAUAUAUAGGUAAACAGUGAAAGACGUUAAAAUCAAAACAAAAUAGCGUUAUCAAUCAAAAGUCAAAAUCUAUAGAGAUAAAUUUCGACAAUAUAAAGUUCCAUAAACCGUUUUAACAUGAAAUUGAGAGAGUAAAAUUUCCGCAAAAUGUAAAUGUGUUAUGAGAGAGCUAAAAGG
This is a non-coding RNA of Cinara cedri, 851 nucleotides long. Lineage: Eukaryota; Metazoa; Arthropoda; Insecta; Hemiptera; Aphididae. The record is from the annotation of a GenBank genome assembly.